Molecule: ribosomal RNA, 445 nt
Filed under: uncultured bacterium
Lineage: Bacteria
Description: partial 16S ribosomal RNA
Rfam family: Bacterial small subunit ribosomal RNA
Source: RNAcentral
GUGAGGAAUAUUGGACAAUGGGCGCAAGCCUGAUCCAGCCAUGCCGCGUGCAGGAAGACGCAUCUAUGGUGUGUAAACUGCUUUUGUACGGGAAGAAACACUCCCUCGUGAGGGAGCUUGACGGUACCGUAAGAAUAAGGAUCGGCUAACUCCGUGCCAGCAGCCGCGGUAAUACGGAGGAUCCAAGCGUUAUCCGGAAUCAUUGGGUUUAAAGGGUCCGUAGGCGGUUUAAUAAGUCAGUGGUGAAAGCCCAUCGCUCAACGAUGGAACGGCCAUUGAUACUGUUAGACUUGAAUUACAAGGAAGUAACUAGAAUAUGUAGUGUUGCGGUGAAAUGCUUAGAUAUUACAUGGAAUACCAAUUGCGAAGGCAGGUUACUACUUGUGGAUUGACGCUGAUGGACGAAAGCGUGGGGAGCGAACAGGAUUAGAAACCCUGGUAGUCC